UACGGGGGGGGCAAGCGUUGUUCGGAAUUACUGGGCGUAAAGGGCUCGUAGGCGGCCAACUAAGUCAGACGUGAAAUCCCCGAGCUCAACUCGGGAACUGCGUCCGAUACUGGCGGGCUUGAAUCCGGGAGAGGGAUGCAGAAUUCCAGGUGUAGCGGUGAAAUGCGUAGAUAUCUGGAGGAAUACCGGUGGCGAAGGCGGCAUCCUGGACCGGCAUUGACGCUGAGGAGCGAAAGCCAGGGGAGCAAACGGG
This 253-nucleotide ribosomal RNA is filed under the name uncultured bacterium. RNAcentral describes it as "partial 16S ribosomal RNA". It matches the Rfam family "Bacterial small subunit ribosomal RNA", at positions 524 to 776 of the family's 1533-position model. The record is from RNAcentral.